GAUUGGGUCCGGGACAAAGUAUGACUUCUAAUCACCACCUUGGCCUGUUCAACUCAGGCCCCAAUCU
This 67-nucleotide transfer RNA is filed under the name Notomastus sp. GK-2021. RNAcentral's name for it is "tRNA-Ser". Lineage: Eukaryota; Metazoa; Annelida; Polychaeta; Capitellidae. The record is from RNAcentral.